Molecule: ribosomal RNA, 756 nt
Filed under: uncultured Actinomyces sp.
Lineage: Bacteria; Bacillati; Actinomycetota; Actinomycetes; Actinomycetales; Actinomycetaceae
Description: bacterial SSU rRNA
Rfam family: Bacterial small subunit ribosomal RNA
Source: RNAcentral
GACGAACGCUGGCGGCGUGCUUAACACAUGCAAGUCGAACGAAAAUACCAAGCUUGCUUGGUUGAUUAGUGGCGAACGGGUGAGUAACACGUGAGUAACCUGCCCCUUACUUUCCUGGAUAACUGCUCGAAAGGGUAGCUAAUACGGGAUAUUCUGACCAGUCUGCAUGGGUUGGUUUGGAAAGGUUUUUUCUGGUAAGGGAUGGGCUCGCGGCCUAUCAGCUUGUUGGUGGGGUGAUGGCCUACCAAGGCUUUGACGGGUAGCCGGCCUGAGAGGGUGGACGGUCACACUGGGACUGAGAUACGGCCCAGACUCCUACGGGAGGCAGCAGUGGGGAAUAUUGCACAAUGGGCGCAAGCCUGAUGCAGCGACGCCGCGUGAGGGAUGAAGGCCUUCGGGUUGUAAACCUCUUUCGUCAGGGAACAAGGCAUUGCCUUUUUUGGUGGUGUUGAGGGUACCUGGAUAAGAAGCGCCGGCUAACUACGUGCCAGCAGCCGCGGUAAUACGUAGGGCGCAAGCGUUGUCCGGAAUUAUUGGGCGUAAAGAGCUCGUAGGCGGCUGGUCGCGUCUGUCGUGAAAACUUCCGGCUCAACCGGGGGCUUGCGGUGGGUACGGGCCGGCUAGAGUGCGGUAGGGGUAACUGGAACUCCUGGUGUAGCGGUGGAAUGCGCAGAUAUCAGGAAGAACACCGAUGGCGAAGGCAGGUUACUGGGCCGUUACUGACGCUGAGGAGCGGAAGCGUGGGGAGCGAACAGG